RNAcentral lists this non-coding RNA (185 nucleotides) under Pseudomonadota bacterium. Its description in RNAcentral is "Proteobacteria bacterium (soil metagenome) 6S RNA". It matches the Rfam family "6S / SsrS RNA". Rfam says of the family: E. coli 6S RNA was the first non coding RNA to be sequenced, but its function was unknown until recently. Lineage: Bacteria; Pseudomonadati; Pseudomonadota. The record is from RNAcentral.
CAUCUCCUGCGGUGUUCGAAACGGGCUGGGGUACCCUCAGAGCCUAAUAAAAUCCCCUGGAGUUCAACACCGGGGUGACGGUGCGCAAGUCCACCCUCGAGUGGAAAGCCUGAAGCACCGCGGCGAGCUCCACCUGAACCAUAGGUUCUAGGGCGAAAGUUCGUUACGGCACAGGCGGGAGAUGU